GCAUGGUUGUCGUCAGCUCGUGUCGUAAAAUGUUCGGGUUAAGUCCGAUAACGAGCGCAACCCUUAUUGCUAGUUACUAACAUUCAGUUGAGCACUCUAGUAAUACUGCCGGUGACAAACCGGAGGAAGGUGGGGAUGACGUCAAAUCAUCAUGCCCCUUACGUCUAGGGCUACAGGCGUGCUACAAUGGCUGGUACAAAAAGAAGCAAUACCGUGAGGUGGAGCAAAUCUCUAAAACCAGUCUCAGUUCGGAUUGGAGUCUGCAACUCGACUCCAUGAAGCUGGAAUCGCUAGUAAUCCUGAAUCAGAAUGUCAGGGUGAAUACGUUCCCGGGUGUUGUACACACCGCCCGUCACGCUAUGGGAGUCUGUAAUACCCGAAGUUGGUAGCCUAACCCGCAAGGGAGGGGGCCGGCGAAGGUAGGACAGGUGACUGGAGUGAAGUCGUAACAAGGUAUCCCUACGGGAACG
Molecule: ribosomal RNA, 470 nt
Filed under: uncultured bacterium
Lineage: Bacteria
Description: bacterial SSU rRNA
Rfam family: Bacterial small subunit ribosomal RNA
Source: RNAcentral